This 77-nucleotide transfer RNA is filed under the name Deltaproteobacteria bacterium. RNAcentral's name for it is "tRNA-Lys". It matches the Rfam family "tRNA". Rfam says of the family: Transfer RNA (tRNA) molecules are approximately 80 nucleotides in length. Their secondary structure includes four short double-helical elements and three loops (D, anti-codon, and T loops). Lineage: Bacteria; Pseudomonadati; Myxococcota; Myxococcia. RNAcentral also lists the same sequence under 1 other name. The record is from RNAcentral.
GGGCCGUUAGCUCAGUUCGGUAGAGCAGCGGACUUUUAAUCCGUUGGCCAGGGGUUCAAAUCCCCUACGGCCCACCA